RNAcentral lists this long non-coding RNA (408 nucleotides) under Ananas comosus (pineapple). RNAcentral describes it as "long non-coding RNA (ACOM_LNC030865)". Lineage: Eukaryota; Viridiplantae; Streptophyta; Magnoliopsida; Poales; Bromeliaceae. The record is from RNAcentral.
CAGCUUAAUUUGAGAUUGUUUGUUUCGUGGAAGUAUCAGCGAUACAUAGAUCAAGUUGCUAUUUUAAUUUUUUUAAUAAAAAAGCUUUGAACUUGAAGCAUCAGAUACCAAUCAUCAAGUUCUUAUCCAAUUAUAUGCUAAGCAUGUUCAGUAAAUUAAUUUUUAUAUUUUUAUGAGCGAGAAGAAAAAUAUAAUGCAUAAAUUUCACAAAAACAGACGAUGCAUACACUAAUUUCUAUAAAAAAAUAAAUAAAUAAAUAAAUAAAAUUUUUUGUACGUAAUUAAUUUACAAUUUAAAGUAGAUGCGUCGUUGUUGGCUGAGUCAAAAUAAAUAAAUUUAAAAAUUAAAUAAUACAAUUAAUAUUUUAAAAGGCUCAAUAAUUGACUCAAAAUAAUUUAUAAUUUAUG